UAAAAACCUGACAGGGAAGUGGGCA
This 25-nucleotide non-coding RNA is filed under the name Rattus norvegicus (Norway rat). Lineage: Eukaryota; Metazoa; Chordata; Mammalia; Rodentia; Muridae. The record is from RNAcentral.